Molecule: ribosomal RNA, 534 nt
Filed under: uncultured bacterium
Lineage: Bacteria
Description: bacterial SSU rRNA
Rfam family: Bacterial small subunit ribosomal RNA
Source: RNAcentral
GAAGAACCUUACCAAGUCUUGACAUCCCCCCUGACGGGAGGGUAACGCCUUCCGUCCCUUCGGGGCAGGGGAGACAGGUGGCGCAUGGUUGUCGUCAGCUCGUGUCGUGAGAUGUUGGGUUAAGUCCCGCAACGAGCGCAACCCUUAUUCUUAGUAGCCAGCAGGUAAGGCUGGGCACUCUAGGGAGACUGCCAGGGAUAACCUGGAGGAAGGUGGGGAUGACGUCAAAUCAUCAUGCCCCUUAUGAUUUGGGCUACACGCGUGCUACAAUGGCGUAAACAAAGGGAAGCGAGGGAGUGAUCCGGAGCGAAUCCCAAAAAUAACGUCUCAGUUCGGACUGCAGGCUGCAACUCGCCUGCACGAAGCUGGAAUCGCUAGUAAUCGCGGAUCAGCAUGCCGCGGUGAAUACGUUCCCGGGUCUUGUACACACCGCCCGUCACACCAUGGGAGUCAGUAACGCCCGAAGUCAGUGACCCAACCGAAAGGAGGGAGCUGCCGAAGGCGGGACGGAUAACUGGGGUGAAGUCGUAACAA